This 273-nucleotide long non-coding RNA is filed under the name Brassica napus (rape). RNAcentral describes it as "long non-coding RNA (BNAP_LNC008578)". Lineage: Eukaryota; Viridiplantae; Streptophyta; Magnoliopsida; Brassicales; Brassicaceae. The record is from RNAcentral.
AGAUGAGACAAAAAUGAAAAAUUUAUAUAAAGUUUAGUGUAUUCAAGUCAAAUAGAUUAGAGUGGGUUUGGAGAUUCUUAGUUUGGAAAAAAAUGUAUGAAUUUUAUGCAAUACGAGGUUACCAAAUGAAGAAAACUCAGACAUAAGAACUUACCAAAACGCUCAGAUCUAUUAUGAAAGGGAGACAUGGGAGAAGACUCCGCCAGAAGACUUCCUGGAAGUCGUCUGGAAAACUUUCUGAAAGUCGUCUGGAAGUCUUCUAGCCCAGAAGUC